This 253-nucleotide ribosomal RNA is filed under the name uncultured bacterium. Its description in RNAcentral is "partial 16S ribosomal RNA". It matches the Rfam family "Bacterial small subunit ribosomal RNA", at positions 524 to 776 of the family's 1533-position model. The record is from RNAcentral.
UACAGAGGGUGCGAGCGUUAAUCGGAAUUACUGGGCGUAAAGGGUGCGUAGGUGGUUAUUUAAGUCAGAUGUGAAAUCCCUAGGCUCAACCUAGGAAUUGCGUUUGAGACUGGAUAGCUAGAGUGCAGUAGAGGGAAGUGGAAUUUCCGGUGUAGCGGUGAAAUGCGUAGAUAUCGGAAGGAACAUCAGUGGCGAAGGCGACACACUGGCUCACUACUGACGCUGAGGCGCGAAAGCGUGGGGAGCAAACAGG